UUCGCAUGCCUGCGCAAGUAACACGUAGAUGUGCAUCUUCCAACAUCAUCACAAACACACACGAACAAGAACGGCUGCGUUUACAAAAUCCUACCAUCGAUUGAAAACCAUAAAGUUGGAUCUGCAAGGAAACUGGCAUCCAAAGAAAUACAACCUGUAAUAGGACACUUUCGCUUUUAGCUCCGUCAGCCGUUUUUCUAUACUGUACUUGACCGAUGAAGUACACACAUCAUUUACUGCAGCUUAACUAACCAAUAGGCCAGUCACGGCGACAAUUUGAGACCAAGUACAGGAGCGACCUGGAAGUUGUAUGAACAGCAGCAUCAAGGAAAAUAAACCCUCACGGAAGUAAAUCUGGUUGGAUGCCUGACUAUCACAGGACUCGCUAUCUCAGGGCCAAUUUGGAAUUAUCAAUUAAUGAGACGUGUCUCUUUGAUGAUGUGGGAAGAAAACAAAAGCAACUGGAGGAAAUCUACACAGAUACAGGCAGAAUGUGCAAAUUCCACAUAGACAACUAGUGGGUGUUGGAAUGGAACCCAGGGCUCUGAAUCUGUGACGCAGCAUUACUAACUGCCAGCUGUACUUUAAUUAUAAUCACUUAUUAAUGUCUUGUCAAGCUGCAUGAGCCCUGGUCAAAUUUGCUUGUUAAUAAAGCUUUUAUGAUCUC
Molecule: long non-coding RNA, 667 nt
Organism: Polypterus senegalus (gray bichir)
Lineage: Eukaryota; Metazoa; Chordata; Cladistia; Polypteriformes; Polypteridae
Exons: 2
Source: RefSeq, a predicted model, not a curated record